Molecule: long non-coding RNA, 1209 nt
Filed under: Sus scrofa (pig)
Lineage: Eukaryota; Metazoa; Chordata; Mammalia; Artiodactyla; Suidae
Description: lncRNA (ENSSSCG00060023752.1)
Source: RNAcentral
AGGAAGUCCUUCCUCCCAGUGCCGCUUCUCAGACUGCUAACCAGGACUCGUGUGAACCUCUCCGGAGACUCAGAUAAAAUGAAAAAGAGAAAGGAUGUGGUCGCCGCUUUAGAGAUUAAUGAGGAAAACAAGCGGAAUGAAAGGGCUUUGCCACCAAGCACAGAAAGCAGAGGAAAGAGCCCUCCUUUUCAGAGAAAUGGGACUUGGCUGAGGGACGCAGGACAUGCCAUCAUUCUCAAGCUUGUGGCCAGCUCCUUGGUGCAGACCACCUAAUAGAGACACUGCAGUGUGAAACAAACUUUGUUCAUCCAUAAACUGGAUUGCUCAGCAAAUAUUUAUUGAGCACCUGCUGCGGGCUAAGCCCUGAUCCCCGUUGUGAGGACUCAUCAAUAAAUGAGACAGAAAAGGACUCUUCUCUCCUAAAGCUGACCUGCUUGGAAACAGGAGCACGCUGCAAGAUGGAUUUCCGGGAAGGAUGCACACUUUGAAGAAUUAUAAAGAAGGGAUGUGGGGGAGGGGAGCGGAGGUGGCAUGUGAUGUAAGUUGCAAUUUUCCUGAAGGGUACCAUCCACGUGGGCAUCCAGGAGCUCUGAGUAGAGUUCUGAACCAGGGAGGGGCUGGGUGUAAGGAGAGCUGGCUGAGCAAAGAGAGGAGCAAGGAUCCUGGAGUGGGGGCGAGGCGGGUAGACACAUCGAAGGGGCCAAGUGUCCAGGGUCGAAGCAACCUACAGGACCGUGUCUGGCUGGCCAGGUCCUAAAAUGAAGGCAACGGGGGAGCAGUCUGACGGGUCCACAUGCAUCAACCUCCCAGAUACAGAGCAGGGGAAUGGGCGGAUCAUGGCCCUGGAAAAGCCGGUACCCCAGCUCGGCACAAAACAGUCUUAGGGAUGAGCCCCUCCCGGAGACCAAAGGAUGGAGGCUGCAUCGAGGAGCACUCCCUGAGGAGCUGGCCCACUCCUGCAUCCCCAGUGCCAACCCCUGCAAACACCAGGCUGCAUGCUGGCCAUGCCUAGAGGGACCAAGCUGGGAAGGGCAGGACUUGCUCACAGACAAGAGGAAAAAUGAGCAGAUUGAAGUAGGAACAUGGCCACUGCAUUCUCCCCCCGGCAUGCAAGGCAACAUGGGCCCUGGGCCCAGGACCUUGGCCGACAGUGUUAUCACCUGGAUCCCAGUCUACCGGGGUGAUGUCUGGCUUCCCCCACACAACUGA